Molecule: long non-coding RNA, 1067 nt
Filed under: Struthio camelus australis
Lineage: Eukaryota; Metazoa; Chordata; Aves; Struthioniformes; Struthionidae
Description: lncRNA (ENSSCUG00000013561.1)
Source: RNAcentral
UCCAGAUGUAGUUAGUACGUAGGGCUUGUUUCUGCACUGCUUUGCUUAUACUGAACCUCCUGGAAACCAUAUGUCUGUGACUCAUGGGGCACUGAGCCCAGGCUAAUCAGCUGUGUUGACAAGCAGGGUAUAUUUUAUUGGGCUUAAAGCCACCUUAAUGUGGUCAUGCAUUUUCCAGAAUUCUUUGUGGACAUGCUCGUUAUCGGAGGAUUUUAAAGUGGCUCUGACUUUCUCUCUGUUCAGUUAGACUGCAAGGCCUUUAAAGAGACCAUGCAGCAAUACCUCUUUUUUUUUUUCCUCUCUGUGCCCCAAAGACCAAGACGGGAUGGGAAAGGUUCUGGAGGGACACAAAAAAAGUAGAGCCAAGGUGAGGACCAGGAAGGUGGUCCUUUAUUUUGCUAUGAGAUUCAGACUGAUCACUUUGCCAGCUGUCAAGGCAAAUGUUGCUGUGUAGACCUUAGUCUCAACGACACUUAGUUUCCUGGUGAUGGGUGUCUUCAAAGGACUGGACAGAACAAACUUCCUACUGCAUCUGCAUUUUAGGUUCUCUGCUCUGUAAGUAUGCUGUGCCGUCUGGCAUUUCCAAGCUUGUUAACCAGGAAUGUUUUGACUUAAGAGCAUCUGGAAAAUUUAUAGUAAUGGUUUUGAUAUGAUUUGAUACCUUUUAGGUGAAUGAAACUUUGUAUCUGGCUAAAAUAAGCAUGAAAGGUAUUUUUAUAUUGAUUUAUUAGUCCCUAUAUUUGGCCAAAUUUUCCAUGAUUGUUAGAGAAAUCAGUAUUUUUCUUGUAGUACAUCACACACAUGCUGUAAACAGCAUGAAGACAAUAUUUGUUAGGUAGCAUCUGAUAAAAUUCGUUGUCUUUCCACUAUGUCCAACAGGAAAGGUUAGGAGAUGUUUUAAUUACCUUGAAGAUAACGUUUCAUAAGACUUAUAAGGUGUCGAGAGGUGUCUCUGAACGUAGAGAGACAGGAAUGUUUAAGCAGUGUUAUGUGUAUAGGUGUAUAUUUUCCAACUUUAAGAAAGAUGUGUUUGCAACCUAACUGCACUAACUUUUGCUGAAAUAAAC